This 29-nucleotide ribosomal RNA is filed under the name Capsicum annuum. Its description in RNAcentral is "partial 18S ribosomal RNA". The record is from RNAcentral. Lineage: Eukaryota; Viridiplantae; Streptophyta; Magnoliopsida; Solanales; Solanaceae.
UUUUGGAAGUAAAAGUCGUAACAAGGUUU